UACGGGGGGAGCAAGCGUUGUUCGGAAUCACUGGGCGUAAAGGGAGUGUAGGCGGUUCGGUAAGUGGGAUGUGAAAUGCCCCGGCUCACCCGGGGACCUGCAUCCCAUACUGCUGAGCUUGAGUACAGGAGAGGGUGGGGGAAUUCCAGGUGUAGCGGUGAAAUGCGUAGAUAUCUGGAGGAACACCGGUGGCGAAGGCGCCCACCUGGCCUGCUACUGACGCUGAGGCUCGAAAGCUAGGGGAGCAAACGGG
RNAcentral lists this ribosomal RNA (253 nucleotides) under uncultured bacterium. RNAcentral describes it as "partial 16S ribosomal RNA". It matches the Rfam family "Bacterial small subunit ribosomal RNA", at positions 524 to 776 of the family's 1533-position model. The record is from RNAcentral. RNAcentral also lists the same sequence under 1 other name.